AGUGCAGACCGCCUUAUCGUCGUCUCGUCUUUACGGACGAGAGGGAGGAAAGUCCGGACACCAGAGAGAAGCAUAGCGGGUAACGCCCGUCGGGUUGAGCAAUCGAUCAAGGACAAGUGCAACAGAAAGUAUGUACAGGUAAUGCUGUAGUGAAACCAGGUAAACUCUAUGCGGUGAAAUUUCAAGUAUAUCGGUAGUUAAGGGCUUCUCGUCCGUUGCUGAAGGGUAGAAAGAUGGAGCUUGUGAGUAAUUGCAAGCCUAGAUAAAUGAUAAGGUAUCGUCUCGUUUUUAGGAACGAGACGAGAACAGAAUCCGGCUUAUAGGUCUGCUUUUUUU
Molecule: RNase P RNA, 336 nt
Filed under: Flavobacterium swingsii
Lineage: Bacteria; Pseudomonadati; Bacteroidota; Flavobacteriia; Flavobacteriales; Flavobacteriaceae
Description: Bacterial RNase P class A
Rfam family: Bacterial RNase P class A
About the family: Ribonuclease P (RNase P) is a ubiquitous endoribonuclease, found in archaea, bacteria and eukarya as well as chloroplasts and mitochondria. Its best characterised activity is the generation of mature 5'-ends of tRNAs by cleaving the 5'-leader elements of precursor-tRNAs.
Source: RNAcentral